UGAGGAAUAUUGCACAAUGGGCGAAAGCCUGAUGCAGCAACGCCGCGUGAGGGACGAAGGCCUUCGGGUUGUAAACCUCUUUUCUGAGAGACGAGACAAGGACGGUACCUCAGGAAUAAGUCUCGGCUAACUACGUGCCAGCAGCCGCGGUAAGACGUAGGAGGCGAGCGUUAUCCGGAUUUACUGGGCGUAAAGCGCACGCAGGCGGCUUCGUUAGUCGGAUGUGAAAGCUCCUGGCUUAACUGGGAGAGGCCAUUCGAUACUGCGAGGCUUGAGGUUGGGAGAGGGGUGUGGAAUUCCCGGUGUAGUGGUGGAAUGCGUAGAUAUCGGGAGGAACACCUGUGGCGAAAGCGGCACCCUGGCCCACACCUGACGCUGAGGUGCGAAAGCGUGGGUAGCAAACAGGAUUAGAUACCCUGGUAGUCCACGCUGUAAACGAUGUCAACUGGGUGUCGGUGGUUUUACACUAUCGGUGCCGAAGCAAACGCGUUAAGUUGACCGCCUGGGGACUACGGCCGCAAGGCUA
Molecule: ribosomal RNA, 526 nt
Filed under: uncultured bacterium
Lineage: Bacteria
Description: bacterial SSU rRNA
Rfam family: Bacterial small subunit ribosomal RNA
Source: RNAcentral